This 497-nucleotide ribosomal RNA is filed under the name uncultured bacterium. Its description in RNAcentral is "partial 16S ribosomal RNA". It matches the Rfam family "Bacterial small subunit ribosomal RNA", at positions 28 to 507 of the family's 1533-position model. The record is from RNAcentral.
GAUGAACGCUGGCGGCGUGCCUAAUACAUGCAAGUCGAGCGAACAGACGAGGAGCUUGCUCCUCUGACGUUAGCGGGCGACGCGUGAGUAACAUCUGGAUAACCUACCUAUAAGCUUGGGAUAACUUCGGGAAAACGGUGCUAAUACCGGCUAACAUACUGAACCGCAUGGUUCAAUAGUGAAAGACGGCUUUCCUGUCACUUAUAGAUGGAUUCGCGCCGCAUUAGCUAGUUGGUAAGGUAACGGCUUACCAAGGCAACGAUGCGUAGCCGACCUGAGAGGGUGAUCGGCCACACUGUGACUGAGACACGGUCCAGACUCCUACGAGAGCACGCAGUAGGUGAUCUUCCGCAAUGGGCGAAAGCUUGACGGAGCAACGCCGCGUGAGUGAAGAAGGCCUUCGGGUCGUAAAGCUCUGUUAUUAGGGAAGAACAAAUGUGGAAGUAAACAUGCACGUCUUGACGGUACCUAAACAGAAAGCCACGGCUAACUACGUG